Molecule: ribosomal RNA, 497 nt
Filed under: uncultured bacterium
Lineage: Bacteria
Description: partial 16S ribosomal RNA
Rfam family: Bacterial small subunit ribosomal RNA
Source: RNAcentral
GAUGAACGCUGGCGGCGUGCCUAAUACAUGCAAGUCGAGCGAACAGAUGAGGAGCUUGCUCCUCUGACGUUAGCGGCGGACGGGUGAGUAACACGUGGAUAACCUACCUAUAAGACUGGGAUAACUUCGGGAAACCGGAGCUAAUACCAGAUAAUAUAUUGAACCGCAUGGUUCAAUAGUGAAAGACGGUUUUGCUGUCACUUAUAGAUGGAUCCGCGCCGCAUUAGCUAGUUGGUAAGGUAACGGCUUACCAAGGCAACGAUGCGUAGCCGACCUGAGAGGGUGAUCGGCCACACUGGAACUGAGACACGGUCCAGACUCCUACGGGAGGCAGCAGUGGGGAAUCUUCCGCAAUGGGCGAAAGCCUGACGGAGCAACGCCGCGUGAGUGAUGAAGGUCUUCGGAUCGUAAAACUCUGUUAUUAGGGAAGAACAAAUGUGUAAGUAACUAUGCACGUCUUGACGGUACCUAAUCAGAAAGCCACGGCUAACUACGUG